This 203-nucleotide ribosomal RNA is filed under the name Symbiodinium sp. clade D. Its description in RNAcentral is "partial Bacterial small subunit ribosomal RNA". It matches the Rfam family "Bacterial small subunit ribosomal RNA", at positions 46 to 261 of the family's 1533-position model. Lineage: Eukaryota; Dinophyceae; Suessiales; Symbiodiniaceae. The record is from RNAcentral.
GCUUAACACAUGCAAGUCGAACGGAUCUUGCUGAUGCUUGCAUUGGUAAGGUUAGUGGCAGACGGGUGAGUAAUACAUGGGAAUCUGCCUUGUAGAGAGGGAUAACUAUUGGAAACGAUGGCUAAUACCUCAUAUUGCCGAGAGGUGAAAGAUUUAUCGCUACAAGAUGAGCCCAUGCAAGAUUAGCUUGUUGGUGAGGUAAU